CCGGAGUUGAAGUCGAAAGUAAAACAGAGACCCGUGCAGAAGAAAUGGAGACGUUCGGUGAACAAGUUGAAAUCGGAAAAUAUAGCGGAGAGUCGUGGAGAAGAAAUGGAUGGAAGUGGAGAAGAAUUGGACGGAAGAGAAAAACGUUCACCGGAGGCGGGAGAGAGUUGAAGGGGGUAACUGCAGACGCGGGAGAGUUCAAAUGCUCUGGUUUACGUUUUUCUUUUGAACGGCCUUCUGUCUUUGGGUUGAAGAAAAGGAAAAAGAAGAAAAGAGGAAGGAAAAUAAAAGAGGGUAUUUUCGUCAUUUCACCUCCAAUUUAUCCUAAAUCUCAACUUUUUUACAAUCAAUCCUAAAACUCUUUUUC
This 367-nucleotide long non-coding RNA is filed under the name Cucumis sativus (cucumber). RNAcentral describes it as "long non-coding RNA (CSAT_LNC002691)". The record is from RNAcentral. Lineage: Eukaryota; Viridiplantae; Streptophyta; Magnoliopsida; Cucurbitales; Cucurbitaceae.